GACGAACGCUGGCGGCGUGCUUAACACAUGCAAGUCGAACGGAAAGGCCCUGCUUUUGUGGGGUUAUCGAGUGGCGAACGGGUGAGUAACACGUGAGUAACCUGCCCUUGACUUUGGGAUAACUUCAGGAAACUGGGGCUACUACCGGAUCGGAGCUCCUGCUGCAUGGAGGGGGGUGGAAAGUUUCGGCGGUUGGGGAUGGACGCGCGGCUUAUCAGCUUGUUGGUGGGGUAGUGGCUGACCAAGUGUUUGACGGGUAGCCGGCCUGAGAGGGUGACCGGCCACAUGGGGACUGAGAUACGCCCCAGACGCCUACGGUAGGCAGCAGUGGGGAAUAUUGCACAAUGGGCGGAAGCCUGAUGCGGCAACGCCGCGUGCGUGAUGACGGCCUGCGGGUUGUAAACCGCUUUCGCCUGUGACGACGCGUGAGUGACGGUAAUGGGUAAAGAAGCACCGGCUAACUACGUG
This 468-nucleotide ribosomal RNA is filed under the name uncultured bacterium. RNAcentral's name for it is "partial 16S ribosomal RNA". It matches the Rfam family "Bacterial small subunit ribosomal RNA", at positions 28 to 507 of the family's 1533-position model. The record is from RNAcentral.